Molecule: ribosomal RNA, 450 nt
Filed under: uncultured bacterium
Lineage: Bacteria
Description: partial 16S ribosomal RNA
Rfam family: Bacterial small subunit ribosomal RNA
Source: RNAcentral
GUGGGGAAUCUUCCGCAAUGGACGAAAGUCUGACGGAGCAACGCCGCGUGAGUGAAGAAGGUUUUCGGAUCGUAAAGCUCUUUCGUUAGGGACGAACGUGCUCUUUGUGAAAAAUGAGGAGUAAUGACGGUACCUAAAUAAGAAGCCACGGCUAACUACGUGCCAGCAGCCGCGGUAAUACGUAGGUGGCAAGCGUUGUCCGGAAUUAUUGGGCGUAAAGCGCGCGCAGGCGGGAUAUCAAGUCUGUCCUAAAAGUGCGAGGCUCAACCUCGUGAGGGGACAGAAACUGGUAUUCUUGAGUGUCGGAGAGGAAAGUGGAAUUCCAAGUGUAGCGGUGAAAUGCGUAGAGAUUUGGAAGAACACCAGUGGCGAAGGCGACUUUCUGGACGAUGUCUGACGCUGAGGCGCGAAAGCUAGGGGAGCGAACGGGAUUAGAAACCCUAGUAGUCC